CAAAAUGUACUUGCCUCGCUUUGCCAGACAUUCCUCCACCGCUGCAGAGGAGGGUCUGGCUAGUCCACACAGCAAUCCGGAACGGUUGAAAAACGUGCCCUAGUUUAUCUGAAUUUCUUUAAACCAUUCACAAUUGUUAUGGUUGGCGCUAAGCUCCGCACGGAGCCACUGCAAUAUAGCCUCGGGAAAGAAUUGGUUUUGGUGAAAUGAGUACAUUAAAAAGUUGUUUUAGUCACGUAAGAGAAAACUCAGAUUGCAUAGAUAAUCUAGCUAGCUGUCUCAAUUUACCAUGCAGAGAU
Long non-coding RNA from Etheostoma spectabile (orangethroat darter), 299 nucleotides. RefSeq lists it as uncharacterized. Lineage: Eukaryota; Metazoa; Chordata; Actinopteri; Perciformes; Percidae. The transcript has 3 exons. The record is from RefSeq and is a predicted model, not a curated record.